GAGUUUGAUCAUGGCUCAGAACGAACGCUGGCGGCAGGCCUAAUACAUGCAAGUCGAGCGCGCCCUUCGGGGUGAGCGGCGGACGGGUGAGUAACGCGUGGGAAUAUGCCCUUCUCUAAGGAAUAGCCUCUGGAAACGGAGAGUAAUACCUUAUACGCCCUUUGGGGGAAAGAUUUAUCGGAGAAGGAUUAGCCCGCGUUAGAUUAGGUAGUUGGUGGGGUAAUGGCCUACCAAGCCUACGAUCUAUAGCUGGUUUGAGAGGAUGAUCAGCCACACUGGGACUGAGACACGGCCCAGACUCCUACGGGAGGCAGCAGUAGGGAAUCUUAGACAAUGGGGGCAACCCUGAUCUAGCCAUGCCGCGUGUGUGAUGAAGGCCCUAGGGUCGUAAAGCACUUUCGCCAGAGAUGAUAAUGACAGUAUCUGUUU
Molecule: ribosomal RNA, 429 nt
Filed under: alpha proteobacterium SKA55
Lineage: Bacteria; Pseudomonadati; Pseudomonadota; Alphaproteobacteria
Description: bacterial SSU rRNA
Rfam family: Bacterial small subunit ribosomal RNA
Source: RNAcentral